This 499-nucleotide ribosomal RNA is filed under the name uncultured bacterium. Its description in RNAcentral is "bacterial SSU rRNA". It matches the Rfam family "Bacterial small subunit ribosomal RNA", at positions 28 to 517 of the family's 1533-position model. The record is from RNAcentral.
GAUGAACGCUAGCGAUAGGCCUAACACAUGCAAGUCGAGGGGCAGCACAUGAGUAGCAAUACGAUGGUGGCGACCGGCGCACGGGUGAGUAACACGUAUGCAACCUACCUCUAACAGGGGGAUAACCCGUUGAAAGACGGACUAAUACCCCAUAAUACAGGGGCUCCGCAUGGAGAUAUUUGUUAAAGAUUUUAUCGGUUAGAGAUGGGCAUGCGUUCCAUUAGCUAGUUGGUGAGGUAACGGCUCACCAAGGCGACGAUGGAUAGGGGAACUGAGAGGUUUAUCCCCCACACUGGGACUGAGACACGGUCCAGACUCCUACGGGAGGCAGCAGUGAGGAAUAUUGGUCAAUGGAGGCAACUCUGAACCAGCCAAGUCGCGUGAAGGAUGAAGGUCUUAUGGAUUGUAAACUUCUUUUGCAGGGGAAUAAAUAGCGGUACGUGUACCGUUUUGCAUGUACCCUGCGAAUAAGGAUCGGCUAACUCCGUGCCAGCAGCCG